This 1436-nucleotide long non-coding RNA is filed under the name Nicotiana benthamiana. Its description in RNAcentral is "long non-coding RNA (NBEN_LNC014039)". The record is from RNAcentral. Lineage: Eukaryota; Viridiplantae; Streptophyta; Magnoliopsida; Solanales; Solanaceae.
CCACCAAUUUAGGCCAAACCAAAAGAUAGCACAUAACAUAUAAUUAAUCCAUAUAUUGUUCAUAUGUAUGUAGAUAUAAGUCCAUAUAUCUAACAUAAAUCUCUUACAUGACUCUUUGUUAUUAGCUAACUCUACAACAAUAACAGACAACAACAGCAACAUGCCCAGUAUAAUUCUACAAGUAGGGUCGGGAUAGGAUAUAGUGUAUACGUAGACCUUAGCUCUACCUUGUGGAGAUCGAGAGGUUGUUUCCGAAGAUCCUCGGCUCAAGGUAUUAACUAACUUUGUUCUUCCUGUAACAAAGACUUCAUAUCACACCACAUAUCUAGCAGAUGGUCUGCAAAUUUAUUCAACAUAACCGCAUAUAUCUAUCCAAAAAAAACAAAUUGCACCAAAAUGAAUAGGAAAUUAGCCCCAUCAACAUGUAAAUCACAUUGACAAUAGAUAAGGAAAUUGACCUAAGGAAAUGAGAACGGUAUCCUAAAGCUCAAUGUUUUCCUGUUUAUGGGACCCUUAUAGUAAAUAAUUUCAACAAUAAGCUGCAUUGCAUAAAACUGUCAAAUCAUGUCUAAAUAAAAAGAGCAGCUCUAUUUUUGUAUGACUGACAUACAAUAAUUACUAAAUUAUAACUAAACAGUUUUCUGACAUAACUACUUCUACUCCAACAUCUUAAAACUAUCUUAGAGUUUUGGCAUUUACCCAUUAAAAAUUAAAAAAAGACACCUGAUACUAAAUGCAAAUAGCAACACAUCUCUUUUCAGGAUAUUCCUCAAUAACCCCAGAUUUUAGUUUCAAGGUUAAACGAAGAAAAAUGGGGCAAAAAGAUAGAAACAAAUUUCAAUCUUGAGCAGUUCUAACACAAAAAAAAAAGAGGCUUUUUCUUCAUAAAAUCUUAUAAAAGAGAGAGCAUUCAAGUAAAAGAUGGCAACAAGAAACAAAUGGGGAUUAAAAAGUUUCAAUCUUUUUUGACAAAGGCACAUACCCACUUUUAUUUUCAAGGUAAAACAAAGAAAAAAAAUUAAAAAGCUGAAAAAGGGUCAAUCUUUAGAAGUUCUAGCACAAAAGAAAAGGCAUUUUCUUGAUAAAUUCUUAUAAAAGAGAUAUGUUUCAAGUAAAUUAUGAAAUAAACUAAUAAAUAAACAAAUGGGAUAAAAAAGAUUAAAUCUUUUGAGACAGGAACAUACCCAAUUAUUUAUAUGAUGAUCAAAUGCUACAUUCCCCCUUAUGAAUAUAUCAAGUGUGUGAUCAAAUCAGAACCUACGGCGGUAACAGAUCAAUGAUUAAAAACAGGUAAAAAGUGGAGGGAUUUGAAAAUGUGUGGGGAAAAACAUAGGAAUCAAAUGAUUAUGGUUUGGGGUUUUGUUAGGACAAUUUCAAGAUUCAAGGAAGUGGACAAGAGAGAGAAGAGAAGAGAAGGCAGAUGUAGCAAUAGAAAG